CCUACGGGGGGCAGCAGUGGGGAAUAUUGGGCAAUGGGCGCAAGCCUGACCCAGCAACGCCGCGUGAAGGAAGAAGGCUUUCGGGUUGUAAACUUCUUUUGUCAGGGAAGAGUAGAAGACGGUACCUGGCGAAUAAGCCAAGGGUAACUACGUGCCAGCAGCCGCGGGAAUACGUAGGGUGCAAGCGUUGUCCGGAUGUACUGGGUGUAAAGGGCGUGUAGCCGGGUUGACAAGUCAGAUGUGAAAUCCUGCGGCUUAACCGCAGAACUGCAUUUGAAACUGUGGAUCUUGAGUACUGGAGAGGCAGACGGAAUUCCUAGUGUAGCGGUGAAAUGCGUAGAUAGUAGGAGGAACACCAGUGGCGAAGGCGGUCUGCUGGACAGCAACUGACGGUGAGGCGCGAAAGCGUGGGGAGCAAACAGGAUUAGAUACCCCAGUAGUC
This 442-nucleotide ribosomal RNA is filed under the name uncultured bacterium. Its description in RNAcentral is "partial 16S ribosomal RNA". It matches the Rfam family "Bacterial small subunit ribosomal RNA", at positions 338 to 795 of the family's 1533-position model. The record is from RNAcentral.